UUGUUCUUGUUCUUGUUCUUGUUGUGGCACAAAUUGAUUUUAACCUAUUGUGUUUGCCUAUUUGGAUGUUGUGAUUCUUUUAAGUUUUUUAUUUUAGUUUUUUUUAAAGAAAUACGUAUCUAGGACAAAAAAUGCGUAUCCAAUUUCUAAAAAUUGCAAAAAUGGCUUAGAGAUAUUUCCUAGCUAUGUCCUCACAUUCCGAGGAGG
Molecule: unclassified non-coding RNA, 207 nt
Filed under: Hevea brasiliensis (rubber tree)
Lineage: Eukaryota; Viridiplantae; Streptophyta; Magnoliopsida; Malpighiales; Euphorbiaceae
Source: RNAcentral